GCGAGAGGGAGGACACGGUGACCAGGUGCGCGUGGGGAGACGUCAGACCCUUAGAGCCUUGCAGGUGCCGGACUGCGAAUACAUCACCCGGGGCAAUUAAAAAUCUCCGGGGCUUGGCAAGAUCAGAUGGUUGGGUGCAGAUUUCUCUCUCAAGAGGCCCCGCUGGGAUUCUCCAUGCACGUUUGCAUGCAAAUUGCAUAUACAAAAUAAACCUAAUGAAAGUGCAAGGGUCAGAAACUCCAGCUCAAAAAUUUUAAACCGAAAAGGGAAGUCACUGGCU
Molecule: long non-coding RNA, 280 nt
Organism: Balaenoptera ricei (Rice's whale)
Lineage: Eukaryota; Metazoa; Chordata; Mammalia; Artiodactyla; Balaenopteridae
Exons: 4
Source: RefSeq, a predicted model, not a curated record